UACGUAGGUGGCAAGCGUUGUCCGGAUUUACUGGGCGGUAAAGGAUGCGUAGGCGGACAUUUAAGUCAAGAUGUGAAAUACCCGAGCUUAACUUGGGUGCUGCAUUUGAAACUGGGUGUCUAGAGUGCAGGAGAGGUAAGUGGAAUUCCUAGUGUAGCGGUGAAAUGCGUAGAGAUUAGGAAGAACACCAGUGGCGAAGGCGACUUACUGGACUGUAACUGACGCUGAGGCAUGAAAGCGUGGGGAGCAAACAGG
RNAcentral lists this ribosomal RNA (255 nucleotides) under uncultured bacterium. Its description in RNAcentral is "partial 16S ribosomal RNA". It matches the Rfam family "Bacterial small subunit ribosomal RNA", at positions 524 to 776 of the family's 1533-position model. The record is from RNAcentral.